This 241-nucleotide unclassified non-coding RNA is filed under the name Hevea brasiliensis (rubber tree). The record is from RNAcentral. Lineage: Eukaryota; Viridiplantae; Streptophyta; Magnoliopsida; Malpighiales; Euphorbiaceae.
GUACAUAACAAUUUGAGCGAAUAUACACAAAUUGCCUGAUUCUUACUAGGAACUCUUAUCUGUACACCUGAAAUUUAACUGCUCAGAAAGCUUCAAUUUACCAUCUACUCAGCUGUCAAGGUAGUUGGAUGGAUUUGGCAUCAACAAAAUGCAUGGAGAAAAUGCAUCUUGUACCAAACUCUAUCAGUGCAAAACACAUUCCUGUUGUAGUACGUUGUAUCAAACAGAAGGCAGAUUUCUG